This 842-nucleotide ribosomal RNA is filed under the name Pseudomonas fluorescens. RNAcentral describes it as "bacterial SSU rRNA". It matches the Rfam family "Bacterial small subunit ribosomal RNA", at positions 94 to 934 of the family's 1533-position model. The record is from RNAcentral. Lineage: Bacteria; Pseudomonadati; Pseudomonadota; Gammaproteobacteria; Pseudomonadales; Pseudomonadaceae.
AGCGGCGGACGGGUGAGUAAUGCCUAGGAAUCUGCCUAGUAGUGGGGGAUAACGUCCGGAAACGGGCGCUAAUACCGCAUACGUCCUACGGGAGAAAGUGGGGGAUCUUCGGACCUCACGCUAUUAGAUGAGCCUAGGUCGGAUUAGCUAGUUGGUGAGGUAAUGGCUCACCAAGGCGACGAUCCGUAACUGGUCUGAGAGGAUGAUCAGUCACACUGGAACUGAGACACGGUCCAGACUCCUACGGGAGGCAGCAGUGGGGAAUAUUGGACAAUGGGCGAAAGCCUGAUCCAGCCAUGCCGCGUGUGUGAAGAAGGUCUUCGGAUUGUAAAGCACUUUAAGUUGGGAGGAAGGGCAGUUACCUAAUACGUGAUUGUUUUGACGUUACCGACAGAAUAAGCACCGGCUAACUCUGUGCCAGCAGCCGCGGUAAUACAGAGGGUGCAAGCGUUAAUCGGAAUUACUGGGCGUAAAGCGCGCGUAGGUGGUUUGUUAAGUUGGAUGUGAAAGCCCCGGGCUCAACCUGGGAACUGCAUCCAAAACUGGCAAGCUAGAGUAUGGUAGAGGGUGGUGGAAUUUCCUGUGUAGCGGUGAAAUGCGUAGAUAUAGGAAGGAACACCAGUGGCGAAGCGACCACCUGGGACUGAUACUGACACUGAGUGCGAAAGCGUGGGGAGCAAACAGGAUUAGAUACCCUGGUAGUCCACGCCGUAAACGAUGUCAACUAGCCGUUGGGAGCCUUGAGCUCUUAGUGGCGCAGCUAACGCAUUAAGUUGACCGCCUGGGGAGUACGGCCGCAAGGUUAAACUCAAAUGAAUUUGACGGGGGCCGCACAAGCGGUG